This 1063-nucleotide ribosomal RNA is filed under the name Burkholderia cenocepacia. RNAcentral's name for it is "bacterial LSU rRNA". It matches the Rfam family "Bacterial large subunit ribosomal RNA", at positions 1865 to 2925 of the family's 2925-position model. The record is from RNAcentral. Lineage: Bacteria; Pseudomonadati; Pseudomonadota; Betaproteobacteria; Burkholderiales; Burkholderiaceae.
GGUGCCGGAAGAUUAAAUGAUGGGGUGCAAGCUCUUGAUUGAAGUCCCGGUAAACGGCGGCCGUAACUAUAACGGUCCUAAGGUAGCGAAAUUCCUUGUCGGGUAAGUUCCGACCUGCACGAAUGGCGUAACGAUGGCCACACUGUCUCCUCCCGAGACUCAGCGAAGUUGAAGUGUUUGUGAUGAUGCAAUCUACCCGCGGCUAGACGGAAAGACCCCAUGAACCUUUACUGUAGCUUUGCAUUGGACUUUGAACCGAUCUGUGUAGGAUAGGUGGGAGGCUAUGAAACCGGAACGCUAGUUUCGGUGGAGCCGUCCUUGAAAUACCACCCUGGUUUGUUUGAGGUUCUAACCUUGGCCCGUGAUCCGGGUCGGGGACAGUGCAUGGUAGGCAGUUUGACUGGGGCGGUCUCCUCCCAAAGCGUAACGGAGGAGUACGAAGGUACGCUAGGUACGGUCGGAAAUCGUGCUGAUAGUGCAAUGGCAUAAGCGUGCUUAACUGCGAGACCGACAAGUCGAGCAGGUGCGAAAGCAGGUCAUAGUGAUCCGGUGGUUCUGUAUGGAAGGGCCAUCGCUCAACGGAUAAAAGGUACUCUGGGGAUAACAGGCUGAUACCGCCCAAGAGUUCAUAUCGACGGCGGUGUUUGGCACCUCGAUGUCGGCUCAUCUCAUCCUGGGGCUGUAGCCGGUCCCAAGGGUAUGGCUGUUCGCCAUUUAAAGAGGUACGUGAGCUGGGUUUAAAACGUCGUGAGACAGUUUGGUCCCUAUCUGCCGUGGGCGUUGGAUAUUUGAAGGGGGCUGCUCCUAGUACGAGAGGACCGGAGUGGACGAACCUCUGGUGUACCGGUUGUCACGCCAGUGGCAUCGCCGGGUAGCUAUGUUCGGAAGAGAUAACCGCUGAAAGCAUCUAAGCGGGAAACUCGCCUUAAGAUGAGAUAUCCCUGGAGGCUAGACCUCCUUGAAGGGUCGUUCGAGACCAGGACGUUGAUAGGUCAGGUGUGUAAGCGCAGUAAUGCGUUCAGCUAACUGAUACUAAUUGCCCGUAAGGCUUGAUCCUAUAACA